GUUUUUCUAGUAUAAAAGUACAAUUGACUUCCAAUCAAAAGGUUUGAUUAUCAAUCAAGAAAAACA
RNAcentral lists this transfer RNA (66 nucleotides) under Dirshacris aridus. RNAcentral's name for it is "tRNA-Gly". It matches the Rfam family "tRNA". From Rfam's summary of the family: Transfer RNA (tRNA) molecules are approximately 80 nucleotides in length. Their secondary structure includes four short double-helical elements and three loops (D, anti-codon, and T loops). Further hydrogen bonds mediate the characteristic L-shaped molecular structure. tRNAs have two regions of fundamental functional importance: the anti-codon, which is responsible for specific mRNA codon recognition, and the 3' end, to which the tRNAs corresponding amino acid is attached (by aminoacyl-tRNA synthetases). tRNAs cope with the degeneracy of the genetic code in two manners: having more than one tRNA (with a specific anti-codon) for a particular amino acid; and 'wobble' base-pairing, i.e. permitting non-standard base-pairing at the 3rd anti-codon position. Lineage: Eukaryota; Metazoa; Arthropoda; Insecta; Orthoptera; Acrididae. The record is from RNAcentral.